This 467-nucleotide ribosomal RNA is filed under the name uncultured bacterium. RNAcentral's name for it is "partial 16S ribosomal RNA". It matches the Rfam family "Bacterial small subunit ribosomal RNA", at positions 28 to 523 of the family's 1533-position model. The record is from RNAcentral.
GACGAACGCUGGCGGCGUGCUUAACACAUGCAAGUCGAGCGAGAAACUUCGGCUUCUAGCGGCGGACGGGUGAGUAACACGUGGGCAACCUGCCUCACAAUGGGGGAUAGCCUUCCGAAAGGAAGAUUAAUACCGCAUAACACAAAGGAAACGCAUGUUUCUUUUGCCAAAGAAUUUCGUUGUGAGAUGGGCCCGCGGCGCAUUAGCUUGUUGGUGAGGUAACGGCUCACCAAGGCGACGAUGCGUAGCCGACCUGAGAGGGUGAUCGGCCACAUUGGAACUGAGACACGGUCCAGACUCCUACGGGAGGCAGCAGUGGGGAAUAUUGCACAAUGGAGGAAACUUUGAUGCAGCAACGCCGCGUGAGUGAUGAAGGUCUUCGGAUUGUAAAGCUCUGUCUUCUGGGACGAUAAUGACGGUACCAGAGGAGGAAGCCACGGCUAACUACGUGCCAGCCGCCGCCGUAA